RNAcentral lists this ribosomal RNA (429 nucleotides) under uncultured prokaryote. RNAcentral describes it as "bacterial SSU rRNA". It matches the Rfam family "Bacterial small subunit ribosomal RNA", at positions 355 to 776 of the family's 1533-position model. The record is from RNAcentral. RNAcentral also lists the same sequence under 1 other name.
UGGGGAAUAUUGGACAAUGGGCGAAAGCCUGAUCCAGCCAUGCCGCGUGUGUGAAGAAGGUCUUCGGAUUGUAAAGCACUUUAAGUUGGGAGGAAGGGCAGUAAAUUAAUACUUUGCUGUUUUGACGUUACCGACAGAAUAAGCACCGGCUAACUCUGUGCCAGCAGCCGCGGUAAUACAGAGGGUGCAAGCGUUAAUCGGAAUUACUGGGCGUAAAGCGCGCGUAGGUGGUUUGUUAAGUUGAAUGUGAAAUCCCCGGGCUCAACCUGGGAACUGCAUCCAAAACUGGCAAGCUAGAGUAUGGUAGAGGGUGGUGGAAUUUCCUGUGUAGCGGUGAAAUGCGUAGAUAUAGGAAGGAACACCAGUGGCGAAGGCGACCACCUGGACUGAUACUGACACUGAGGUGCGAAAGCGUGGGGAGCAAACAGG